This 214-nucleotide long non-coding RNA is filed under the name Elaeis guineensis (African oil palm). RNAcentral's name for it is "long non-coding RNA (EGUI_LNC070102)". Lineage: Eukaryota; Viridiplantae; Streptophyta; Magnoliopsida; Arecales; Arecaceae. The record is from RNAcentral.
GGAUAAUGGAUGUAUUUCUCACAUGAAAUUAAGAAGGAUUCACCUUCUUUUGCAUAAAUCCACUAUUUGUGAAAUGAUCAUUUUGAUAUCUAUGGAAAUGAACAAAUGAAAGUUUUGGGGAUAAUUUAGUACCCAAGUCGAAGAUAUGUGUUAGUAGAUAGAUGCUAGUAGAAGAGUAUAUGACAAAGCUUAUUGAAUACCUAAGUGGGACACC